RNAcentral lists this microRNA precursor (95 nucleotides) under Bigelowiella natans CCMP2755. RNAcentral's name for it is "miRNA EPrBNAG00000013226". It matches the Rfam family "mir-598 microRNA precursor family". Lineage: Eukaryota; Cercozoa; Chlorarachniophyceae. The record is from RNAcentral.
AAGUGAUGAUGAUGAUGAUGAUGAUGAUGAUGAUGAUGGGUAUGUAUAAGGCAGCAUAUUGGUCAUCAUCAUCAUCAUCAUCAUCAUCAUCAUCA